UUGGGUUAGAGAUACCAAGGAACCCGCUAGAUGGAGCUUUUACAUCUAAUUCAGUGGCCAUGUUACUAAGAAACGCAAAGAUUGAUGGCUCGGCCAAUAUGACAAAAAAGAUGAGAGGCCUACCAGGAGAUAGGGAUAGGAACAAUCAACUAGCGGCAGCAGUUGUUCAUUAUCUUGAAGAGGGCAGGCUGUCCAGGUAACAAGCCUGCUAAGUGUUUCUGCUGGCAAUAAGUCAAUCUCGGAUACAAUGUUGAGUAAAAUUUUGAUUUGAAAUGGUUAAUAAUGAAUUUAUUCUAAAUGGGUUGUCACAAUACAUACCAAUCCAACUUGUCAUGGAUUGAAUGCACAAACCAGAAAAAUAAUAUAUUGAAUCCAAGACAGAAAACUUACCUAUAAUGACCAGCUAUUCUAAUGGCAUUAACAAUUUGCCCUAGUAAAGCACAAGUAACAAUUUUCACAUUGCCUUAUUGCCAUUUGUAAAGGCAUUAAUGCCAAUCUGUACAGUGGUUUAGGGAUCAGCACUUGCUAUCCAUAAACAAAAAAUGAGAGCAGAGAUGCCAUUGUUGCUAAUACAUGACAUUUCUAUUCUAAUCCUAUAAGAAUAUAAUGUACAUGUAUGUGCAAACACUAUUCCUUGCUCCCCCUUUAAGAUAAAGAGGACGAAACAAACUAUCUUCUGGUGUAAUGGCAAAGAAACUGUACCAUGCAGAUUAUUUGAGGUUGGCGUAUAUUGCAAUUUCAAAUUCAGUCUGUUUCAUAUCUGUAACUCUGAUAGAACUACUGCAUAACACCUGAAGUUACUCUGUUCAAAUGAUGCAGAUGGAAAGGAGCCUGUCUCCUCUAAACGAAACAUUUGCUGAAGUCAUGGCUGAAUUUUCUGCAUGUCAGAAUAUUUGAAGGUGCAAAUCUAGAAAGAAGGAAAAAAAUAAGAAAAAUAUUACAACAAAUGCUAUAUUGUUGAGCAAAAGUAACUGCAUAUGUUUCAACAACAAUCUAAUUUGUAAGGCACAAGAACCAUUCCAGAAGCCAUUAAAUUUCUUCAAAGUUAACACAAUAAUAUGUCCUUAAUAUACUGUUAAACCAUUCCAGGGACUAGUAGAAAAAUUCUCUACUAACAUCUGCAUCCUAAAUCCUAAUGCAACUUUACAUAUUGUUGCGCUACGCAUGUCACGACAACACACAUGAUCUCACAUUUUUCAAGGAAGGAAGACCUAAGCCUUGAAGACAUAUUACAAUUAAAAUUGUUUUUACGCUUGCUAAUAGUAUAACUUUUUCUAUUCCAGCAUUGAAACUAUUGAUGAUAACAAACAAUACAAUCAGUCAAAAAAAUAUGAUGAUGUAUUUAUGGUAAUCUAGCAGCUUAAACUUUCCUUUGAAAAGAGAGAUCUGACUUCAAUGUGCAAGAAAGAAAUAAUUGAAUAAUUUUCCUUCCCAGUUUUUUAUCAUUUCUUUUUUGCCCCUUCUAAAUUUCGUCUUUGUAAAUUAUAAUUCAACCUCCAUCUUAAAAAUCUUAAUUCGUAAAUGGGAAGUUUGGCCUUUGAAAUGUUUCCAACACCAGAACCCUAACUUCAUGGAGGUUUCUGUAGUUAAGUACAUGGAAAAACUAAAUGAAUACCUUAAUACAACUUAAUAGAACUGAGAAAAUUGUUGCUAUAAACUGAGCAAACAAUAAUAAGCAUAAGGAGAAUGUAGAAAGCAAAAGUUUAUUGAAACACUAAAGGCUACAAUCAUAAUGCUCCUUACCAGAGAUCAACAUUGACAAACAGCAACUGUCAAUUGCAUGUCUCUGCUCAUUGAAUGUAGAUCUAUCCUGUUGCAGACAACUUAGAUUUCACAUUUCGAGGAGCACUAGUUUUGCGAAGUUGAGGAUUUUCUAUAGAGUACACAAGAAGGAUUCCAUCUUUGGUCCCAGCUAAAAAGCAUUCUUCUGGGGUUACUGUUAGACAUGUUAUUACCUUUCCAACUCCAUUAUACUUUUUGACAAUAUCAAGCGUAUUCAUAGAGCGUACAGUUAUCUGUCCCUGAUCACCAGCACAAACCAGAAACUCACCACAACCACUGAGUUCAACACAGUUCAGGCGACCAUUAGAUUCAGAAGUAGCAAGAUGUUUUCCAUUAAUAGAAUAUAAAUGCAGACUAAGAUCAUCAUCAGCAUAAAAUACUAUCCGUCCGUGCCGAGAGGCCACAAGCUUUGACAAUGCACUGCCAGAAGGAUGACGUAAAGAUCUUAUGUAUCUUCCUUCCCUAAGGGUAUGGAAAACACAAGUUCCAUCUUUUGAACCACUGAUAACUAUAUCAAGCUCCGCACUAACAUAUAAGCAUGUUAUUAUAUCAUCAUGCCCGCUGAGAAUAUGGAAAGGAGUUUCAGCAAUGACAUACUCUUUACGAGGUAGUUCAGUCUGAGUGUUUCGAACUCUCUUUUCAGUGCCUCGGACACGGAGAACUUCCCACACCAUGACUGUAGUAUCAUAACUUCCAGUUGCAAGUAUGCUACCAUCAGCUGUCACUGCCACACAGCUGACCACAUCUUUAUGCUGUCGAAUACUCUGCACCAUUCUUCCAUCAUUUAAGGAAAUGACUUGGAAACUGUUUUCCCAAUUACCACAUGAGAUCAAAAAGUUCUCAGUCGGUGUUUGCAUUGUUGCAAAGCAUUGUGCUCCAAGUUCAAUAUUUUCAGCCAAAGGACUGCCUAUUCUUCUAGCAGAAAGAACAUCAGAACCAACUCCGAAGAAUGGUUCCUGCAAACUAGAGAAGGUAAAAUUGCCACCAGACUGCAAUUGAGUUGUCAGCCACAACUUAACUGACAAGGUAAGCCCUUGGUUUACGAGGACAAUAUGUGAGUCCAAUAUGCCAAUAUAUAAUACAGCUGAUGGAGGAUAACUUGUACCAGACACAAUGGAUGUCAAAUUAAUAGAAUCAGGUGCAAAAUGCAAAGGAUGAGCAAUUGGAAUUGGUGGCCCUCUUCUUGGAUGUUUUUUACGGAAUAUCUGAAUUGGUGUCUGGCCAAAAUUCGCAAUUUGGUCUUCAAUUGCUGAUCUCUGCAACUCAUCUUCCAUGGUGUCUAGAUCAACAGCACCUUCAUAAGUUAAAUAAUAGAAGAUGUUUGCUGCCUCAACUGCUGGUUUUCCCCGCUGCUUGUAACCAAAUACCAAAUCAAUCCAGUGGUGGAGAUUUGAACUAACAUAUUCACUUUCUAGGGCCUCUCGAUUUUUGCUUAUAAAUAAUUCAGGUGAUCCCUUGGCCCAAGGAGGGAGACAAACAUCACCUAUUGGCUCCCCAUCUUGCUUAACUCCAAGAUGAUAAGAAUUUGAGUUAACAAGAAAUUCUGGCAUGUAGAAGAACUCAGGAAUUAACUCCUUCACAUCACUUGUAUUAGAAAGACAAUUUCGAUAUGUUCCUUCAAUGCCUUGGAAAAGACGAUCAGCAUGAUCAAAUUUUCCACCCUGCAAAUUACGGUGAAGUGAUGUGAAUGGCUCUAAUCUAAGAAGAUAAUAAAGCACAAUCCCCAUGCUUGAGUAAUGUGAUCCAUAGUAGAAACUGGGUAUAUCAGGAUCAGAGAAGUUACGGUAUCUAUCUUCGAAUACCUCAAACCGUUUCAAAUCCAAUGCUCCAACAGGUUUAGUGAGAUCUCGAAAGGUUGAUGAUUUGUUAAAGUCAAGAACAUCAGAGGAAUAAUCAGCCAAAACCCAAGGAAAGAUGGGAUACUGUGUUAAAUCAUUGUAAGAUCUUCCUGCAAGCGUGUUGAGAAUCAUUAGGUAUUCAAAGUUUGUUAUAUCUCUUCUCCUCCAUCUUUCUCUGGCAACUUCUGCCAUCUCCAGGGCUACACGUCUAUCGACAAACAUUAUAGUUCCACUCUUGUCCUUACUACCUUUUGGAAACAGGAAUUCAUUUCUAGUAGCAACUAUUACAGUACCAACUUCUUUUGCAUCUUUCAGUGAUUCAAAAUUUAAAAAGACUGGUGCAACUGAGUCGCCAAAGAAAAUCUCUAUGGCAGUGUAUCUAAGCAGAUACCGUGUCCAAUAGACAGUUUUUAUCUUGCCAAUGUUCCAUCUUCUAUGGCGCUUAACAUGUUUUAACUGUCUUUGAUGCAUAUUUUCAUUUACUGUCUCUACAUUAUCAACAGAAACCCCUUUCAGAGGACAAAAAUCAGCAUCCAUGGGCCAUUUAAGAGACUUCGAUUUUUGUUCAAGUUUGGAUUUGACCCCAUCAGAAUUGCUUGAAGCAUCAAACUUCUUGAAAACAGAUGAUCCUCCAGUACCUUCAACCAAAAAUUCUCCAAAAAAGUGCAAGAAAUUUUUCAUGAUUGCCAACUUUCCUGCUAAUUUUCUCUUUGGCGUUACAAGUACACAUGGAACAGACAAAAGAACCUCACUAGUUUCUGUCUCUUGUGAAGAGGAAGAAGCGUCCCUUUUGUCUUGUAUAACAUCCUUCUGAUCACUGCUGCCUUUAGCUAGCUCUAAGCAUUGAGACUCUGAAAGAUCCUCAGAGAUGAAUGCCUUUUGGGUACUUGGUUCAACAUCAUUUUCACCUGCUUCUGAGCUCCCCUCAUCAGUUAUCCUGCGCACACCUUUCAGCAGAAAUCGUUUCAUUUGCUCAGGAAUAUGGCCCACAAAACCAUCUUUGUUUUCAUUAACAGGGAGAGUAUCCUCAUUGCUAGAGGCAGUGGAAGGAGGAUGACACAGCUUAUCAUCAAAAUGAUAAUUCCGUCUUAACUUGGGUCUGCGACGCCAGGCAUCUUCUGUCUUGUCAAGUUUCCAAUGCAUUACCACACUAUUUGGAAAAGGAUUAGCCGACCAGGGACCCCUCUCAUCAAUCAAAGUGCGGAACAUGUGUAUCCAUUUUUCAGCAACAUUUUGCCGAUCCUCCUCAUGCGAAAACUGGAAUACAGCUCUUCUGUCGUCAUCUGCAGCAAGGAUUGUGUUCAAGCUACCAUGUAUCUCAUCUUCAAAUGCUUUCUUAUUAGCAGUUUCUACGGAUGUACUCUCAUCCAUCCUAGCACGGAGCUCAAUCAACUGCCUGGAGCGGUCAGAUAUUGAUGUCUUCAAAUAUUUUAACUCAUCAGAGACCGCUGCAAGGACCCGAUCCUUUUGAAUCAGAUUCUGAAUGGAGCCUGUAUCUUUUGAGUUACUCCCCAAAUCAGAAGAGUCAUCUCUACCCACAAUAGCAGUAGCCAGCAUUGCUUUCCCGCAGUUGACUGUUUCUCGGAUCAAGUGUGAUAUAACAUGAGUGCGAGCACCAUCAUCUAACAUCCCAUAUUGGGACCUUAGAGCAAGCAAAACCCAGAGGAAAAGCUGCAAUCUACUCUUGCUUUGCUCAUCAUCGACAGCCAGAAGAGAAGGCAAAAGUAAAAUGACCUGUUGCACACACCGUGAUGCUCUUUCUAAAGAAGAUUUGCAGAUAUAUACAAAUACAAGUCGGAAAACAAUUCUUGGACAUCUCUCCCCUCUUAAAAGCAUGGCUUUAUCAACAGUUUUAUUUGGUUUUCCACCUAAGGCAUUGCCUAUCCCUCCUGAAACAACAACUGCAGCCAUUUCUGCAGCUGGAAUGUUCAAAGAUUCAACUAGGCCACGUGCUCUUUGACCAAAGGAGGGUCCCAGUGCUGGUGAUGAUUUGGGUAGUAUCUUGCUUGGUCCCUUACCAUUCAUCUCACCAAUGAUAACCCACAAAUUGUCAUAUAAAUUCCACCACUUAUCAUCAAUUAGGUCAUCUUCAUGCAUGAUUGGAUGCUUGCAACCCCAUGGAUUUCUAGAUGUUUGGUUAUCAAAUUCUCCUUGCAAGAUUUCAUGUAGUGCAGCAUAGUCCUGAUUUUCUGAUUCUAAAGAAUCGCCCCUAAGUUCAGAGAUAUUUGCUGGAAACAGACUCUUAUGGUCAACUUCAGAGACAAGCAUCUCAUCAACCAGCCGUAGAAGAUAUAAUGUAUUAUCCCGACAUGGUUGCAUAGCAAAAAUAUUUUCCUCAUAAGAAAAAUCAACCAGCCUUUGAAUCAACUCCUCAAAUAUAUCACGAAGAAAGUAUCGAUAUGAGAUGCCAGCAUGCUCACAGUGCAUAAGUAGGAAAUUCACUGUUUCUUCCAACUGUUGCCAGCCACCUUUUACAGAAUGCAGAUAAUGACAAAGAACAACACAAUAUAAACUCCUCACCAAGUUUUGCUCAAGUAGCUCAGUUUCACAGUGGUGGUGAGACUCUAAUUUGUAUGCCUUCAACACAUCAAGCUUUAAAGAAGCUGUUAACCAGGCAUGCCAUCCAUGUUCCAUUAGAGCUUCAAUAUUUGAAGAAUUUGAAUCAAGAAGAUCAAGCAAAUCUCUAAUUAUUUUUGCUCUUGCUGAUACAUCCUCACAGCUAGACAAGAAUCCGAAAAUGAGGACCAAGAUCUGUGGAAGGAAAAAAUGAGAGCUAUUUCCUUUGCUUCUAGGUUUUUCAACCAGGCUAUGUUUCUGUAACACCUGUUUGGGACUGGCACCACCAAGAAGAACAUCAAACAAGCUGGCGCACAAAAAAUCUGUCAGAGGAUAUCUGAAUAACCUGUCAGCCAUAGCGGAAAAGACUGGCUGCAUCCUUGAGCUGUUUCUCUUCUGACUUUCUGAAAGAGAUCUUGAUCUUCCAACAGAAAGACUGAAAAAUCUAGGUCCCUUCUUCUCAGAUGGCAAACCAACCAAAAGCCUUCCUAGGAAUUGCAAGCCGAGUAAUCUAAUGGGCUCAUGUUCCCUCUGAAGAAGAUUGACAAAAAUGUGACAACCACCGAUCAUAUUGACGUGUUCAAGGAAAGCAAUAAGCACUGGUUUUUGAGAAAGAGCACGGAUGACCAUAUGUAGGACAUCCUCAAUGCAUGUCAUAUCUUGGCUUGUCUCAAAAAAUGCUAUCAAAGCUUUCAUAUCUGCUGCUGCAAUGCUCUGCCUGAGGCUCAUUUCACCAAGACUCAAUAGAAGAAGACGAAUUUUGUGUAUUUCUUCUUUAUUAGGUCUCUCUCCAAUAACUUGUUUGGUAAUGGGAUGAAGAAGAGGCUUGCUUCCAAUAGCAAAUCGAGAUUUUGUAUUAUCCCAAUAAAAUUGGCGAAUUACAUCAAUAACACGAGGAAGGCGACACAAACUUGAGAGCAACCUUGGAUCAUCAUCAAAUUGUUGUACAAGAAACAUGUACAGUUCACGCUGCACCUUGUAUGCCGUGUAGACCCAUAUGAAAGGAUUAAGAAAAAUGCUAGAUAUAGCAUCUUUCACAAGAAGCUCUGCCAAACCACCAUUUGAAGCAACAUUAAACAGAUGUUUCAAAGCUGAAAGAGUUUCCAAAUUAAGUUGUUCGGGUGGAACUGAUUGCAAUAAAAAUCCCAGUAUAGAAAAUCCAGAAAGAAGAUGCAUCUGUUGUUGAUUUGCUAAAUUCUCAUCUAAAACAGAAGCUAUAAGCUCAAUGACCUCAGCUGUCAGACGUUCUUUUGUGAUGGGCGUGAGUAAUGUAUAUUCAAAGGAUCCACUUUCUUCGUUUUCAUAUCUAUCAGAUUGCGCAAUGAGAGGGAAAAAGACGGACACACCCCCAACACAGUAAAUUAUCUGCUGCAGCAAGCGUCGUGAACAUAAUUCUGUACCAACCAUUACAAUUGCCUCAAAUGACUUCUUAUCUAAUGCAUGAUCUGACACUGGUGAAACAUUGAACAAUUUCUUUCGAUCACUUGCCUGCGCAUUUAACCCAAAGAUAAUUUUUGAUGCCAGACCAUCUUUAGCAUCAAGAAUUCCACUGGGCAGUGGGUUAUCAUAAAAUGGUGCAGAUUGAUUAUCAAGAAAUGAGUACAUGUAGCUUGGCCCCAAAGAAUGAAUACCCUGGACAUGCUCAGAUGAAAUAGCAUCACAAAAUAAAUAAACAGGACCAAUCUGACCAUGGAAAGAGAAAAUUUCUUGCACCGAGUCCGGAAAAACAUCUUCUUCACUCUGAGGCCAAUAAAUUUUCGUGCCAAUUCUACAUUUCGUCAGUAGUUCAGUAACUUUUGCAUAUCUGCAUCUUUCUGAUGAUACAAGAUCACCAUCUACAUAACAUCUCAGCACGCUACCCCCAGAAAAUGCCCUUCCAAUGCUAUGAGUUAGACAAAGAAAAUGCCACUUCUUUCUGACCAAGUUAAUAUUAAGUUGAACAAACUGCCGCUUCAGAUUGUUUGACUCAAAAAUAAGCCUAUCCUUUCCAAGUACUGCCGAGCAUCCUUUUCCAUUUUCAGUUAGGAAACUGAAAAGACCCAUUGCCCCAUUUCUUGGGAAGCUUUCCACCCUAAGCCAACAUGAAAAAGAAAAACCCUUAUUGAGAGGCCAUUGCAAAGGCGUUUUAAUUGUGAUCCCAGAAUCAUUCCCAUUGAGGUCAAAGAAGGCAGUAGGUCCCUUCUCAUUUAACAUUGACAACACAGUGUUCAACAAUAGUGAGCAGUACUGCUGCCGACUUCCCACUUUCUCACUUCGGAGGAGAGCAAAGAUCUUACGAAUAUCCUUCCCAGAUAUGCUAUGCCCACCAAUGACCUGAAUCAAUUGUGCAAUUUUCAAAAUGACACUAUCACUAUCUUCUUCAGCAAACCAAUCAAGAAGAAAAUUAAGCAUUCCUGCUCUGAAGCAUGAAGCUCGAUUGGAAAUGGAAUCCCUGAGCAGCUGGAGAAACAAAUUGAGCCCAUUGUUCUGCAAGGAGUCACUGCUCUUCUGCAAAACACUCAGAUAAAGUAUGAUCACAUCUUCAUUCUUUAUGAGAGGGUUAGCUUUUAUAUCAAACUUUCCAUCAACAAGCAUAUCCAGAAGUGCAGUUAAAAGUGCUUCGCUUGGACUCCAUUGACAAAAGUCCAACAGCAAACUUUGCAUCGUCUGAUAGCCCUUGCCAACUAGAGCUCUAAAUGAAGCCUUUGAGCUGUCAUUACUUGCAAGGAGACAGGUAAGAGUCUGAAGGACAUUUAAAACUAACUUCUCCCCAUUUUCCUCAUCAAGAAUGCCAUUUAGUAAAGAAACAACAUGCAAAAAGCAUUCACCAUCACGGAACAAGGCCUGAUAGUACUCAGAAUCAGCCAUGAGCAUCUCCCUCAUUCCAACCAAUAGAUCAAUAGACAGUUUUGCAAAAUUUUUUUCCCUUUCCCUUAUUUGAGUAAAUGUUUCUAAAUAUUUUGAACAUAAUUGCAACUUGGCCUUUUGAUCAUCCGCAGACAAUGGUACUAUCUUCAUGAGGUCAAGAAUGUGCCCAAGUACAAUAUUUCUCAUGCCCUCUUCCCAAAAUAAUUCAAAUAAACAAUCAAUACAAGUCAAAUCACGCAAAACAAAACUUUUUGCAUCUUCUGCUAUUGAGAAGAAUUCUGUGAAAAGACUCAUGCAUAUUUCCAUGCAUUCAAGCCGGAUGUGAGCUGCCUCUGCUGAUUCAGAUGCCAGGUCAAUAUAUGGUUGAGGCACUUUCCCUAGAGAAGGGCCUAAAUCUCCAGACCUUCUUGACUCUUUUGCUUGGAUGGAAGCAACUUUGAGCACACGAGGAACUGCACUGAGUGCCUUAAAGGAGGCAACUGUCUUCUCAGAUGAAAGCUGCAAUAUACGAAGUAGACUCUUUGCAACAACACUGGCAAUCUCCGGAUGACAGACACAUUGUUCAAGGGCAUCCAAUAACCCAGACAACUCAGGCAAAUUAUGCACAAUUCCAUUACAAGUUGCUGCAAAUUCUACAAAUGAAAUUAUUUCCAUCUGAAGGAUUUCAAUGCUACUGGCCUUUGUUUGGCCAUCAGUGCUACUAGAAGGGGGAUUUGUUUCAAGCUUCCCCAUAAAUCCUCCACCGUAAUUGCAAUGCUCUCCAGAAAUUUCUUCUGAAGCUGGUCCAAAAUAGAAAAAAUUCUCAGAGAAGAUAAGGUCCCAUAUCCCCUCUUCUCUAAAUACUUCAAGUGAUGCAGGUGAUGAAGCAAGAACCUUCCCAAAGGUAUCAAGAACAGAAUGCUGAAGAGCAUUGACAAAGACCCUCAAAUGGCUUGGCAAUUCAUUUUGAUUUGAACAAGCCUUGAUGCAAGGGAAGACUGUAAGAAGAACCCUCAUGGCCCACUUGAUCGAAAGUUCACUAUACAAUGAAGAAAUUGGCAUGGUAAUUCGACCAGUGCUUGCUGGGAUUUGAUGAGAUUUAGUACUUUCUGGCGUAGCUAUGAAAGAACAAAGUACCCUGCUCAACUUGUCAACAUAUUCAUUCCAAAACUGAGAAUAUGAAUCACCUGCUGGAAAGGGAAAAGAAAGCUCCCUCUUUACAUGAUUCCCACUCGAAUCAAGAACAGGCAUUUGAAAAUCAUCCUGAAUAGACAAAUCCUUGAUCUUCUGCUUGUACUCUUGAAGCAUGAAGGCAAGUGAACAAAAGCUAUUUGCAAAUUUAUGAAUUCUUCCAUUUUCACAAAGAAAUUGCAAGUUGUUCAAAUUACCAAAGACAGCCUCUCUCAGAACUAUCAAGGAAAGAAUGUGAAGCUGGAAAAUUUUCAGUAAAAGAUUAUCAUCUCUCUUCUCAUCAACAUGAAAGGCAUUCUUCAGCAAAAGCACAUUAAUUGAUGGAACUCCUAGUCCAUCCAACAGAACUUCAAGCCCUCCAAUACUUUUAAAAUGAUUUUGACCUCGAGGAUUUUCAGAUAAUGCUAAAUGAAGGGUGCUCAGAGUCGAGUACUGAAGUGAUACAUCCAUCCACUGUUCUUUCAAACUAAACCUUCUGAUGACACGCAACAGCUCUACUAACCAAUUGAGGCCACCUGCUUCCAUAACUGAUACGACUGCCUUUUGAUGCCAAUAUAACCUUGUUUCAGGGGGAAUCUUUAAACAACUAGAAGAGUCAAUUGAGGAUGCAGUCCACCCGACAGAAAAUUCUACAGAACUUCUAUACAACUGAGCUUUGGCACAUUCAUUUGUAUUCAGAUCAAUAAAGCUACAUAUUAUUGACACCACAUAUGCAAGAAUUUGUUGCAAAAGUUGUGUCUUUUCUACAAUAACAUUAGAUAAACUUUCAUCACCAGAUAGAGUACCAGUUAACGACUUGAGUUGGACAACAGACGCUUUCAUUAAUGCAGUUAACUUUUGAAUCCCACCAUAGUAGCCAAAAACUUUGCAAUUAUGAAUUGAACGUGUAAUUAUUGUUAAAGCAUCCAAUGCAUGAAACCCUUCAGAUGGGAGAGCCAAGCCUGUGGAAGUCUCUGAUAAGUCUGUUUUGGAGGGCAACACUGUGAUAUUUAAAUCAGUAACCAGAGUGGUUAAAUUUAUGAUCUCUUCAGUCAAUAACAGAAUUACUUCAGCAGGGUGUCCAGCAGAGCAGCCAACAACCACAUCAUCAUCUCGUAAUGGAUAGUCCGAGCAAGAGGCAGUCCUUGAAGCAGUCUCUGGCAACUGGACCGCAUUAACAGGUUCCCAGUUCUUGUACACCAUCAGAAAUUGCUUAAGGAGAACAUGAAACAGCCUUUGCUUUUCAACCUUAUCCACAGCAUUCUCAUAUUUCUCCCAAAGUGCAUGUAAAAUUGCUUCAUCACCAACUUCACUGAAGCGGAUUUUUGGAGCAGGUGGAGGAAACCUCUCAGCCGAUGAUCCCGAAGAAGACUCUCCAGUUUGGAGACUGGAUGUCCUUCGAAUGAGAUCAGCUACACCCUUGACGAUGUUCAUGUCCCCCACUAAUAACUAGCAAGAUAAUUAGAACUUCAUCAUCUGACAAAUGAGACAAAACAGUCCACUCCAGGCCAUUACUUCUGGCGACCUAAAUAUCUGAUCAGAUCGCAAAUGCUAUGUUUGGCUUUUAGGGUUUGGAUUGCGAGAUCUGAGCUCGGUAUUUCUUCAAAACUUUUUGGUUCAAUGGCGUCACUCAACCUCAGGAAUCGAAGAAAAAAAAAUAAUGCGCUUACAGAAGAGAAGAGAGAGAGAAA
Molecule: unclassified non-coding RNA, 11863 nt
Filed under: Hevea brasiliensis (rubber tree)
Lineage: Eukaryota; Viridiplantae; Streptophyta; Magnoliopsida; Malpighiales; Euphorbiaceae
Source: RNAcentral